CAUGAAAUAAAAAGAAAACCCUACACUCACCAUGUCUAAAUAUGAUCUUUUCCAGCAAUUUUUCAUAGGGAGAGAUUUUUGUUCUUGGUAUUCAUGUCCAUAAGCACAAACCCAUCACGCAUAGCUACUUGAGCUAGAGAGAGAGAGAGAGAGAG
Rhodamnia argentea is the source of this 155-nucleotide long non-coding RNA. RefSeq lists it as uncharacterized. NCBI's taxonomy places the organism in Eukaryota, Viridiplantae, Streptophyta, Magnoliopsida, Myrtales, Myrtaceae. The transcript has 3 exons. The record is from RefSeq and is a predicted model, not a curated record.